AUUUUGGAGACAUGACAACACUGCUAUCAUAUGAUUAUGUUCGGCGUGAUAAAUCAGUUGCGUGUGUUGCAAAGUGAUUCACCAAUGAAGUCUAAUUCUCGCGUAUUGUUUACAAUAUAAUUUAUAAAUGUGACAAUUAUGUGGGAAUAUAUCAUAUUUGUAUUUCUCACUUUCUGUCAUAUAGCAUACGCUUCACAUGGCUUUGAUUUUGGUGAUGCAUUAGCACUUAUUAUUGGAAUGGCUAUUGGGAUUGUUGGCAUAUGUGCCUGUUUGGGUUGUUAUGCCAGAAGAAGAGGUGGAGGACUAGAUGCGUUAUAGCAUCGUGCAAAAUUGCAUCACAGAUAUACGUAUUUUAAUUUGGAAAGAUGCACGAUUUUCCAGCUGCUUUCUCAGUUUAGUCCAUUUGAUCUGACACUUUUCUUACAUCUUCAUUCACCGCAACAGAAAUUACAUUUAUCUUUUAAGCAGUCAAUAAGUAUGAACAAAAUAAUUGUAAUUAUUGUGCCUAAUAUUUAAUCAUGUAAGUGUUGUGAGACUUUAUAUCUGCAUUAUUAAAUUGUUUUAUUAUGUAAAUUGUA
This is a long non-coding RNA of Zootermopsis nevadensis, 578 nucleotides long. RefSeq lists it as uncharacterized. The record is from RefSeq and is a predicted model, not a curated record. Lineage: Eukaryota; Metazoa; Arthropoda; Insecta; Blattodea; Termopsidae.